RNAcentral lists this ribosomal RNA (232 nucleotides) under Chiroptera sp. B651. RNAcentral describes it as "partial small subunit ribosomal RNA". It matches the Rfam family "Eukaryotic small subunit ribosomal RNA", at positions 109 to 340 of the family's 1831-position model. Lineage: Eukaryota; Metazoa; Chordata; Mammalia; Chiroptera. The record is from RNAcentral. RNAcentral also lists the same sequence under 3 other names.
GUUAUAGUUUAUUUGAUGGUCUUUACUACAUGGAUAACCGUGGUAAUUCUAUGGCUAAUACAUGCGCACAUGCCUCUUCCCCUGGAAGGGCAGUGUUUAUUAGAUACAGAACCAACCCACCUUCCGGUGGUCCUCAGGUGAUUCAUAGUAACCGAACGGAUCGCGUUGACUUCGGUCUGCGACGGAUCAUUCAAGUUUCUGACCUAUCAGCUUUCGACGGUACUGUAUUGGA